AAUUAGUUUGAUUCUAGCUAAUAGUCUUUAUACUAUUAUUAAAAUCGCAUGAAAAUUUUGUUAUAAUGAGAAAAAUUGAUUAAAUAUUAAUUUUUAAAAUAUAAUUGAUAUAAUGAUUAUUUAUACUCUCAGCGUAAAGUUUUAAUUAAUAUACGAAAGUAUGAAUUAGGGGUAAUAGUUAAUUAAUCUGAUGAAAUAUUGUGCCAGCAUUCGCGGUUAGACUUUAAGGUUAAAUAAAGAUAGUUAUAGUAUAAUAGUUAUUUGUGAGUUAUAAUAUUAUUUUAUAAGCACUAAAAGGUGAAGUUAUAUUGUUUUAUAAAUAUAAUAUAUUUUAGGAGAAGCUAGGAAACUUUAAAAAUAAACUAGGAUUAGAUACCCUACUAUAUUAAAGUUAAAUUUAUGAAUACUGAGUUAUUAGUAGAUAUUUCUUAAAAUUUAAAGAAUUUGGCGGUAAUUUAGUCUUGUUAGAGGAAUUUGUUUUUUAAUCGAUACACCACGUUAUAUCUUACUUGUUUUAAAUAGUUUGUAUACCAUCAUUAUUAGAUAAUUUUAAAAGAAAAAAUUAUUAAAAAUAAAUAUAUUAAAAAAAUUAGAUCAAGGUGCAGCUGAUAAACAAGUUAAAAUGAGUUACAAUAAAAUUUAUUUAUACGGAAUAAUUUAAAAAAUUAAAUUAUAAAGGUGGAUUUAAUUGUAAUAUAAGUUUAAUAAACCUAUAAGAUAUAAGCUCUAAAUUAUGUACAUAUCGCCCGUCGCUUUCAUGAAUUUAUGAGAUAAGUCGUAACAGAGUAGGUGUACUGGAAAGUGUACCUAGAAUUAA
Molecule: non-coding RNA, 817 nt
Filed under: Potamon fluviatile
Lineage: Eukaryota; Metazoa; Arthropoda; Malacostraca; Decapoda; Potamidae
Source: RNAcentral